RNAcentral lists this ribosomal RNA (312 nucleotides) under uncultured bacterium. RNAcentral's name for it is "bacterial SSU rRNA". It matches the Rfam family "Bacterial small subunit ribosomal RNA", at positions 28 to 334 of the family's 1533-position model. The record is from RNAcentral.
GAUGAACGCUAGCGACAGGCCUAACACAUGCAAGUCGAGGGGCAGCGCGGGAGAAGCUUGCUUUUCCCGGCGGCGACCGGCGCACGGGUGCGUAACAGGUGUGCAAUCUGUCCUAUACCAGAGCAUAGCCCAGCGAAAGUUGGAUUAAUUCUCUAUGUGAGCCGAGAGGGCAUCCUUUUGGUUUGAAACGUGAGGGUAUAGGGUGAGCACGCUUCUGAUUAGCUAGUUGGUGAGGUAACGGCUCACCAAGGCGACGAUCAGUAGGGGUUCUGAGAGGAAGGUCCCCCACAUUGGAACUGAGACACGGUCCAA